CCAGGAUAAACCCAAGAAAUGCCCCCUCAUGCCCCUCCCCUUAUAAAAUAGAUGUUUUUGUAACUGCUUGUUCUGCUUCUGUAAACUUGCUUCAUCCCUUCUCAGAAAGAGAUAGUGCCUGGUGCCUCCCUUUACUGUAAAUUGCCCCAACCUGAUAAGACAGCAAAAUAGCUGAGUUGUAAAAAACUACUUUUGCAACUAGUCAAAAACAUGUUAAUCUAUCCUUGAACUUCUCUUCUUAAAAUAACACCUACAAAAGCUAUGCUGUUAUAACAUCCUAUAUAAACUGUGCUAUUCCUGGACUCAGGGCUUCACUUCACUUAGAGAGUGGAGUCCAAGUGCGUGAAAAAACUUUCAGCUUUAACUUUGUUGUUUGUCCCAGUGUUUGGUGAUUUACCGGCUUGCUUGGUACAGCAUUCUUGGAGGCCCCAGUGAGAUAUCACCAUCACUCAGUAACUUCUGACCAGUGGACAGCCCCUGUCUCAGGCUGCAGUGGCCUGAGUCCUGGGGAGGCCACCCUGACCAUCUGAUCAGGGCCCUGGGGGCUCGGAUCUCCAGUGGAGGAUUUGGGUCAUUCCAGCCAUACUGAGAGGAGUUUAUCUGGAAAACCUCUGGAGGUCAGACCCUCCAGGUAAUCCAACAGGAGCUGCAAAAUUGAGUUCGGGAGGCAAGGCCAGCCCCUCAACCUGAAAACUGCUCCUGAAUACACCCCAGGGGACAAAUGGAAGAUCAUCAGUCAACCAGGUGUUAGGUAUUGUGUCUCAGAGAUCUGGGAAAAAUAAGACAGCAGGGAAGAAUACAGACAAGACUAGAGUGAGUGGGAAGAGUAAAAGAUUUUUAAAACACACAAUUUGAGAUCUCUUUGAGGAAAUGGCUUUUGAGAAGAAAAAUAAUGAGAAGUCAUAUUUUAAGUAAAGGGAACAAGAAACAAAAAACAGGUAAGAAUAUGUAAAAAGCUACAUUUGUUAAAGAUAUCAGCUUUGGUUUCAGCAGAGAAAUUCAAAAGGUGUAGUGAGUUAAAAACAAACAAACAAAAACCUGCUAAAAUAUCCAGGUCCUCAUCCCCAGUGUGUGAAUGCUGCCUUAUAUGACAAAAGGAAAUUUUCCAGAUGUGGUUAAGAAUGGUGAAAUAAGGGAUUUAUCUUGGAUCAUAUAAAUAAAACUUAUCUGUACUUGCAUGUGUAUUUAUAACAUAGAGGCAGAAGGACAUUUGGCUGUAGGAAACAGGAAGUAAGAGGAUGGUGUGACACAGAUAAGGAGUCACCAGCUAAGGAUUUGGGAAGCAGGAAAAGGCAAACAGAUUCUGCUGUGAAGCCUGUUGGAAAAAAAGCCUUGCUGACCAUCUGAUCUGGUUUUGGACUUCUAGCCUCUAGAGAUAUAAGGUAACUUUGUGUUGUUUUAAGGCAAGAUAUUUGUGGUAAUUAGUUAACAGCAGUAAUUGGUAAUGAAUUCAUGGAAAAACAACAGAAAAUGACUUCAGAAAGGCAGUAGUGACUGGAACAUUUGAGGCACUGUAGAAAGAUAAUAGUAAAGGUAAAGGCCGUUAGAAGCUCCUGUUAAUAUUGUAAACAACAGAUUUCAGUGAAUCAGAUCCAGAUAGUUGUGGUGGUUGAAGACAGGGAAAUACAUGUUUAAGGUGGAGUCCAUAGAGUAUGCUAAUGACGAGAGGCUGUAGAGUGAAGAAGAAAAUCAUCCAACAGCCUGUAUCAUCCAGGUUAUUGUGCACCAUUCAUGAGAGAUGGCUAAAUUUGCAUGCUGAUUAUGACAGCUAGUUGAAAGGGAAUCAGGAGUUAAUAUUUGGACAAUAUUCUAUUUUAAGCAGUGGAGUUGCUUUAAACUUGAACUAAUGAAUAAAGACUCAUGGAAAAGGAAUAUUCAGGGACAAUUCGAGCAGUAGCCCUUUACACUCCCAAUUCCCAUGGGAUACUUAAAGCCAUACUAUGACAAACAAAAGAUAAGCCUUUUGCAAGGACAACAAAAGCAAUUUAUUAUUCUUUUAUAUUUUUUAUAAUAAUUCUAUCCAAAAUUCAAAUUGACAUUUUAAUUAAUAUUUGAGAAAAAUUCUGGCAGACAAAAGAAGACAUAAUACUAAGUUUAAAAAAUGAAAAUGCUAAUUGAUAUGGAUAAUGUGAUGAUAAAUAAAGGCACAAGUUAAAAUCAGUAAGCUCACAAAGAAAUUAAAUCAAGAAACAGUUUGGGACUUCAGUAGUUUGGAAUGAUAGCUCAUAUUAUCCUAAGUCAAAAUAAGUUUGGAAUUUCAUGGAUGUAACCAAUUCAGAACAGCAAAAAAUGAUAGCAUUACUGAAAUGAAACUCAUAAAAAUUUCUCAUGAUAAUAGCAUUUGUGACAGCAAAACAAAAUUCUAACUUUAUUCUGAAUUUCACUGGUCAUUUGAGAGACGCAGAUGAAGACAACACUGAGAUUCCACCUCACCCCAGAAAGAAUGGCUGCUAUCAAGAAAUCAACCAAUAACAAAUGCUGGUGGGGGUGUGGAG
Molecule: non-coding RNA, 2495 nt
Organism: Heterocephalus glaber (naked mole-rat)
Lineage: Eukaryota; Metazoa; Chordata; Mammalia; Rodentia; Bathyergidae
Source: RefSeq, a predicted model, not a curated record